This 1504-nucleotide ribosomal RNA is filed under the name uncultured prokaryote. RNAcentral describes it as "partial 16S ribosomal RNA". It matches the Rfam family "Bacterial small subunit ribosomal RNA". The record is from RNAcentral.
AGAGUUUGAUCAUGGCUCAGAUUGAACGCUGGCGGCAUGCUUUACACAUGCAAGUCGAACGGCAGCACGGGGGCAACCUUGGUGGCGAGUGGCGAACGGGUGAGGAAUACAUCGGAACGUGUCUAUAAGUGGGGGAUAACGCAUCGAAAGAUGUGCUAAUACCGCAUAAUCUCUGAGGAGAAAAGCAGGGGAUCGCAAGACCUUGCGCUUUAGGAGCGGCCGAUGCCUGAUUAGCUAGUUGGUAAGGUAAAAGCUUACCAAGGCUUCGAUCAGUAGCUGGUCUGAGAGGACGACCAGCCACACUGGGACUGAGACACGGCCCAGACUCCUACGGUCGGCAGCAGUGGGGAAUUUUGGACAAUGGGGGAAACCCUGAUCCAGCCAUGCUGCGUGAGUGAAUAAGGCCUUCGGGUUGUAUAGCUCUUUCAGCCGGAACGAAACGGUUAGUGUUAAUAGCAUUAACUGCUGACGGUAUCAUCAGAAGAAGCACCGGCUAACUACGUGCCAGCAGCCGCGGUAAUACGUAGGGUGCGAGCGUUAAUCGGAAUUACUGGGCGUAAAGCGUGCGCAGGCGGUUUGAUAAGACAGGGGUGAAAUCCCCGAGCUCAACUUGGGAACUGCAUUUGUGACUGUCAGGCUAGAGUAUAGCAGAGGGGGGUAGAAUUCCACGUGUAGCAGUGAAAUGCGUAGAUAUGUGGAAGAAUACCGAUGGCGAAGGCAGCCCCCUGGGUUAAUACUGACGCUCAUGCACGAAAGCGUGGGGAGCAAACAGGAUUAGAUACCCUGUUAGUCAACGCCCUAAACGAUGUCAAAUAGGUGUUGGGGGAGGAGACUUCUUUAGUAACGUAGCUAACGCGUGAAGUUGACCGCCUGGGGAGUACGGUCGCAAGAUUAAAACUCAAAGGAAUUGACGGGGACCCGCACAAGCGGUGGAUUAUGUGGAUUAAUUCGAUGCAACGCGAAAAACCUUACCUACCCUUGACAUGUCAGGAACGAUUUAGAGAUAGAUUGGUGCUCGAAAGGGAACCUGAACACAGGUGCUGCACGGCUGUCGUCAGCUCGUGUCGUGAGAUGUUGGGUCAAGUCCCGCAACGAGCGCAACCCUUGUCAUUAAUUGCCAUCAUUUAGUUGGGCACUUUAAUGAGACUGCCGGUGAUAAACCGGAGGAAGGUGGGGAUGACGUCAAGUCCUCAUGGCCCUUAUGUCCAGGGCUACACACGUGCUACAAUGGCCAUCACAAAGAGUCGCAAGACCGCGAGGGUGAGCUAAUCCCAAAAAGCCGGUCUUAGUUCGGAUUGGAGUCUGCAACUCGACUCCAUGAAGCUGGAAUCGCUAGUAAUCGCGGAUCAGAAUGCCGCGGUGAAUACGUUCCCGGGCCUUGUACACACCGCCCGUCACACCACGAAAGUUGGCUGUACUAGAAGUGCGUGGGCUAACUGUUCGCAGGGGCAGCGUACCAAGGUAUGGUUGGUAAUUGGGGUGAAGUCGUAACAAGGUAACCGUA